UCGCAAAAACUCAAAUUCGAGACGGGGGCCCGCACAAGCGGUGGAGCAUGUGGUUUAAUUCGAUUAGCAACGCGCAGAACCUUACCAGCCCUUGACAUCCCGGUCGCGGUUUCCAGAGAUGGAGACCUUCAGUUCGGCACGCCUUUGGACUUACACGGUGUUACAGGGCUAUGCUGCAUGGCAGCUCGAACGAGAUGUUGGGUUAAGUCCAUACCGCAACGAGCGCAACCUUCGCCCUUAGUUGCCAUCAUUAAGUUGGGCACUCUAAGGGCGGUGAUAAGCCGCGAGGAAGGUGAAGAUGACGUCAAGUCCUCAUGGAGUCUUACCUUACGGGCUGGGCUACGUGCUACAAUGCG
RNAcentral lists this ribosomal RNA (356 nucleotides) under uncultured bacterium. RNAcentral describes it as "bacterial SSU rRNA". It matches the Rfam family "Bacterial small subunit ribosomal RNA", at positions 891 to 1234 of the family's 1533-position model. The record is from RNAcentral.